GGUUAAGCGACUAAGCGUACACGGUGGAUGCCCUGGCAGUCAGAGGCGAUGAAGGACGUGCUAAUCUGCGAUAAGCGUCGGUAAGGUGAUAUGAACCGUUAUAACCGGCGAUUUCCGAAUGGGGAAACCCAGUGUGAUCCGUCACACUAUCAUUACGUGAAUACAUAGCGUAAUGAAGCGAACCGGGGGAACUGAAACAUCUAAGUACCCCGAGGAAAAGAAAUCAACCGAGAUUCCCCCAGUAGCGGCGAGCGAACGGGGAGCAGCCCAGAGUCUGAAUCAGCUUGUGUGUUAGUGGAACGGUCUGGAAAGUCCGACGGUACAGGGUGAUAGUCCCGUACACCAAAAUGCACAGGUUGUGAACUCGAAGAGUAGGGCGGGACACGUGGUAUCCUGUCUGAAUAUGGGGGGACCAUCCUCCAAGGCUAAAUACUCCUGACUGACCGAUAGUGAACCAGUACCGUGAGGGAAAGGCGAAAAGAACCCCGGCGAGGGGAGUGAAAAAGAACCUGAAACCGUGUACGUACAAGCAGUGGGAGCCUCUUUAUGGGGUGACUGCGUACCUUUUGUAUAAUGGGUCAGCGACUUAUAUUCUGUAGCAAGGUUAACCGUAUAGGGGAGCCGAAGGGAAACCGAGUCUUAACUGGGCGUUAAGUUGCAGGGUAUAGACCCGAAACCCGGUGAUCUAGCCAUGGGCAGGUUGAAGGUUGGGUAACACUAACUGGAGGACCGAACCGACUAAUGUUGAAAAAUUAGCGGAUGACUUGUGGCUGGGGGUGAAAGGCCAAUCAAACCGGGAGAUAGCUGGUUCUCCCCGAAAGCUAUUUAGGUAGCGCCUCGUGAAUUCAUCUUCGGGGGUAGAGCACUGUUUCGGCUAGGGGGUCAUCCCGACUUACCAACCCGAUGCAAACUGCGAAUACCGAAGAAUGUUAUCACGGGAGACACACGGCGGGUGCUAACGUCCGUCGUGAAGAGGGAAACAACCCAGACCGCCAGCUAAGGUCCCAAAGUCAUGGUUAAGUGGGAAACGAUGUGGGAAGGCACAGACAGCCAGGAUGUUGGCUUAGAAGCAGCCAUCAUUUAAAGAAAGCGUAAUAGCUCACUGGUCGAGUCGGCCUGCGCGGAAGAUGUAACGGGGCUAAACCAUGCACCGAAGCUGCGGCAGCGACACUAUGUGUUGUUGGGUAGGGGAGCGUUCUGUAAGCCGUUGAAGGUGUACUGUGAGGUAUGCUGGAGGUAUCAGAAGUGCGAAUGCUGACAUAAGUAACGAUAAUGCGGGUGAAAAACCCGCACGCCGGAAGACCAAGGGUUCCUGUCCAACGUUAAUCGGGGCAGGGUGAGUCGACCCCUAAGGCGAGGCCGAAAGGCGUAGUCGAUGGGAAACAGGUUAAUAUUCCUGUACUUGGUGUUACUGCGAAGGGGGGACGGAGAAGGCUAUGUUAGCCGGGCGACGGUUGUCCCGGUUUAAGCAUGUAGGCGGAGGUUCCAGGUAAAUCCGGUACCUUUUUAACGCUGAGGUGUGAUGACGAGGCACUACGGUGCUGAAGUAACAAAUGCCCUGCUUCCAGGAAAAGCCUCUAAGCAUCAGGUAACACGAAAUCGUACCCCAAACCGACACAGGUGGUCAGGUAGAGAAUACCAAGGCGCUUGAGAGAACUCGGGUGAAGGAACUAGGCAAAAUGGUGCCGUAACUUCGGGAGAAGGCACGCUGAUAUGUAGGUGAAGCGGUUUACCCGUGGAGCUGAAAUCAGUCGAAGAUACCAGCUGGCUGCAACUGUUUAUUAAAAACACAGCACUGUGCAAACACGAAAGUGGACGUAUACGGUGUGACGCCUGCCCGGUGCCGGAAGGUUAAUUGAUGGGGUUAUCCGUAAGGAGAAGCUCUUGAUCGAAGCCCCGGUAAACGGCGGCCGUAACUAUAACGGUCCUAAGGUAGCGAAAUUCCUUGUCGGGUAAGUUCCGACCUGCACGAAUGGCGUAAUGAUGGCCAGGCUGUCUCCACCCGAGACUCAGUGAAAUUGAACUCGCUGUGAAGAUGCAGUGUACCCGCGGCAAGACGGAAAGACCCCGUGAACCUUUACUAUAGCUUGACACUGAACACUGGUCCUUGAUGUGUAGGAUAGGUGGGAGGCUUUGAAGUGUGGACGCCAGUCUGCAUGGAGCCAUCCUUGAAAUACCACCCUUUAAUGGCUGGUGUUCUAACGUGGACCCGU
RNAcentral lists this ribosomal RNA (2213 nucleotides) under Citrobacter freundii. RNAcentral describes it as "partial 23S ribosomal RNA". It matches the Rfam family "Bacterial large subunit ribosomal RNA", at positions 1 to 2236 of the family's 2925-position model. The record is from RNAcentral. RNAcentral also lists the same sequence under 5 other names. Lineage: Bacteria; Pseudomonadati; Pseudomonadota; Gammaproteobacteria; Enterobacterales; Enterobacteriaceae.